GACGAACGCUGGCGGCGUGCUUAACACAUGCAAGUCGAACGGAAAGGCCCUGCUUUUGUGGGGUGCUCGAGUGGCGAACGGGUGAGUAACACGUGAGUAGCCUGCCCUUGACUUUGGGAUAACUUCAGGAAACUGGGGCUAAUACCGGAUAGGAGCUCCUGCUGCAUGGUGGGGGUUGGAAAGUUUCGGCGGUUGGGGAUGGACUCGCGGCUUAUCAGCUUGUUGGUGGGGUAGUGGCUUACCAAGGCUUUGACGGGUAGCCGGCCUGAGAGGGUGACCGGCCACAUUGGGACUGAGAGACGGCCCAGAAUCCUACGGGAGGCAGCAGUGGGGAAUAUUGCACAAUGGGCGGAAGCCUGAUGCAGCAGCGCCGCGUGCGGGAUGACGGCCUUCGGGUUGUAAACCGCUUUCGCCUGUGACGAAGCGUGAGUGACGGUAAUGGGUAAAGAAGCACCGGCUAACUACGUG
RNAcentral lists this ribosomal RNA (468 nucleotides) under uncultured bacterium. RNAcentral describes it as "partial 16S ribosomal RNA". It matches the Rfam family "Bacterial small subunit ribosomal RNA", at positions 28 to 507 of the family's 1533-position model. The record is from RNAcentral.